CCUCUGGGUAAGCCUUGCACACUCUUUGCAUGUUUGCUGAUGCCUCGGGCCCCACUGCUGCCCCGAGUCUUCCCACUACCCAAGGUCAAGGCUGGCCUCCACCUUCUGCACACACAGCGGCCGCCUACUCCAGCCAAGGUGGCAGAUCCUUUCUGGGAAACCCUGAGGAACCAGUUACAGUGCCUGCUUCCUCACCAAGGUUCCAUGGAAAGUCAUAUAACCUUUCGCGUUUCGUAAACAAGCUGCGGGUUGAACACGCAGUUACAGCCCCAAAUGUAUGCAAUCCGACAAGCUGAAUCGGCCAUCUGAAUGAAUCAGAAGUCACGCGGCCGACGUUCUAUUUAGCAGCAUCCAGAACUCACGCAUCCCUUGCCACUGAACAGGCACCACUGUCAGAGGGUUUAUGCAGCCCCUUGGCACACAGGAGACAGGAAGUGAGUCAACAACUCACUGAAUCCACGAGGUGGAGGGGCCGGCUGAAAUCACCUCAUCUCUCCCUUCACUUUGCAGCAGACAAAGCGAAGGCUCAAAUGGAUUGAACGGAUCUUACAGAUUAAGGUGAGAUAGGCAGGAGCUGCAGUGCCACUUUGUCUCUUGUCACCUAGAAGGUGUGAUGUCUAUGAUGACCUGCAAAAGUAUGCAACACUGGCAGGAAGAAAAGAAUGCUCCCCAACGUUUCUGCUCUGGUCAGCGUCACUGGUCGCCUUCUGAUUGCCAAGGCCGUCUACAGAUGUGAAGACUCGAGGAGGUCCCACAGAUAAACAGAAGAGCUAACAAUUCUAACAGGUACAUCCCUGGCUCCAAAUAAAUGGUCAUCUCGCUACACUGAAGGUACCAUCCCAGCGUAUACCGCGUUUCUGCAGUUAUCAUUUAUUGACUAGGAGUCGGGAGCUCUGCUAGACACAUGGAUCCUCUGGUUAAAAAAAAUUAGCAGGUGCUCUAUUUCUACCAACUGACUUCAGUUGGGCCUGAAUAUGUGUUUCCUCAGGGACAGAAAUUUCGUGAAGUGACUGGCAGCAUCAUUCACCAAUCCUGGAGCCUGAGACCUCACUGAUCAUAAUUUAAUCCAGAUGGUGAUGAAUGUGCACCAGCCCUUGAACAACUAUGAGAUGGCCUUAGCAUCUAGUGUCACCCUCUGCUCACCACCUACACAUCCUCCUGGGAGCUCAAGUUAUGGAAGAGCAACCAUCAGCAGGUGAACAUAGAUGUAUAUCUCAGCUCCAACCUGACCCUGACACUGCAACUUCCAUCCUCUCUUCUCUUCUACUUGAGUGCAGAGAAUUACCUCCAACCAAACAUGGACCUAACAAACCCUCAGUUGCCCCUCUUCCCCAAAUCUGCUUCCUGCCUGAGUCCUCCCCAUAACAGCUAGAGUCAUUUUGGCUUCUCUAAUUCCCCCACCUGCCACUCUACACCAUCAGUAAACCCUGUCCUAACCCUGUCCUAUGGAUCACACACCUGGCCCCCUCUCACCUCCAUGGCUGCAAUCCCACGUGAAGCCGCUUCCGCUCUCCCCUGGACUCAGCAGAAGCCUAUCUAGUCGGGGUCUUGGGGCUUUCACGCUUGCCUCCCCUGCAACAAAGCCUAUUACCUACGUUACAACCAGAGCAAUCUUUGUAAAGAGACUAAACAAGUCAAACUCAGAGAAGCAGAGAGUAGAAUUGGCUGCCAAGGGCUGGGGAGUGGGAGAAACAGGGAGAUAUUGAUCAGGGGGUACAAAGGUUCAGUUAUGCAGGCUGGAUACGUUCUGGAAAUCUAAUGGACAGCAUGGUGGCUAUCGUUAAUAAUACCAUAUUGUGUGCUUGAAAUGUGCUAAGAGAGUAGAUCUGAAAUGUCCUCACCACACACACACACACACACACACACAAAGGUAACUAGGUGACGUGAUGCAUAUGCUCAUUAGUUUGACUGUGAUAAUCAUUUCACAAUGUGUACAUAUAUCAAAACAUCACGCUGCAGUUUGUCCUAAUGAUAUGGUAUGUUUAUAUGAUUUCCUAAUACUGGAGCACCUUUGCAUUACAGGCCUAACUAUAACUAAAUCAAGGCAGAUUGUUAUUUAUUACAACUGAUUAAUUCACUUUACUAAGAUCUUAAGUCAGUUGUGAUUUUGUAUUACCGUUUUUAGGUUUUGUUAUCGAAGUUAUGUAAGUUUCAUAAAAUUGUUUAGAUAAUUUUCCAAUAAAAUUUCCACCUUAUUUGCUCUUAAAAAAAACCCCAAAAAACACAUCAUGUUGUACGCUGUAAAUAUAUGCAAUUUUUAUUUGUCAACUGUACCUCAAUACAGCUAGAAACAAAGAAUCAACGAAAAUAAAACAUCUGUAUUCUUUAAAGGGUUGUCCCCACCCACUUCUGCACCUUCCCCAGCACUCCCAUGCGCCGUGCUGGGGCCAUGCACACGCAUACACGCAUCUCUCUGGUAUUUUCGCCCACCCAGCUCAUCACCUUUCAGAUGCCACUUGCUGGUCCUUAGGUCCAGAGGUUGUUUCUCUAAGUCCUUCCAAGGGGCCUUCUUCUCAUUACUCAGGUGUCCUUCAAUGUCACCUCCUCAGAAAGACCUCCCCAAUCAGGCCAGCUGAAGCACAGCCUCUUCCCCUCUACCAGAUUCCUCUACGUUCACUUCUUCAAGUCACUCAAAACUACGUGAAAUCACUCAGCUGAUGUAUCUGUUUAUGGCCUGUUUAACCCACAAGAAUAUCAGAACUGGAGGACUGAGCCUGGGUCUUGCUUGCUGGAUGUCCCCAGGGCCCAGAAGACAGUAUGAUAUUAAGUAUUAUAGACUGACCGACUAGAUCCUAGAGGCGAUAGAAACCAAGACAGCCUUGAACUAAGUGAUGGAAAAAUCACUGUAAAGGCCUGGAUACUUUCUGCCAGUGCCACUGAGGAGUGCUCACGGCAAGUUUCAGGGGCGUUUCCAUGGAAAACUACAAGUUCCCUCCCAAGGAAUCAAUCUAUUAGGUGAGAUUUCAGGAGAACAAGUCAACGAAGACCAUGAAUUAGCUGCCACAGAAACAUCGAACGAUUAGCACAUAAUGCAACGCGGGGACACGCAGACGUGCUGUGAACACAUGGUGUUUUAUUCUUCAAUUCAUUAGCCUGAAACGUGGAAAGGUCAUUGAGGACAUUACAAUAAAGGUCUCCCCAACUGUGUUAAAUUCUGCACUUCAAAAUAUUAAAAGCUAUGUGAUGGUGGAUAUGUUAAUGGAAACACAAAAAGAAUGAUUCCUAAAUACAAGUCCAGGAAAAGCAAUGACAGAUUGCAUCAAUUUGGCACGCUGUUCCUUAACAGUAAAGGGGGCUAAACACCACUGUAGGAUGCCUGCUUGCUUGAUUUUGCCUUGUGAAAAUUAAGAACUACCUAUGGUACCCCUCAGCCCACAAUGUCCCGGUGACCCGCCCUGCCCAUCACCGCUAGUUUGGGAGAGGCAGCAUUGCAGAGAUGAAACAUAGACACUGGACUCAGACCACCUGGGUUCCAAUUAGCUCCAACAAUAACCUUAUGUCUCAGGUUCCAUUAUCUGUCAUAUGGAGAUAAAAACCCAUAGCUUAAGAUUAUAUGAGUUAAUUUGAAAGAGCAUAGAAAAUUCCCUAGCGAUUAGGAAGCACUAAAAAAGUUUUAAUAAGUAAGAGCUAUUUAAAAAAAUGCUUCUUAAAUCUUGCAGGAAAAGAAAAUCUCUAACCACCAAAUUAGUGUCUUCCUACAAAGAGAUGAUAAAAUCAGUUCACUGUUUAAAAAGAGCUGUGAUGGUGGGUGGCCUCAGCCUUAGGAAAAUUCCACAUCUCCCCAGGAAGCUUGUAAAAGAACAUUCAUAGCAGCAUUUUUCAUAAUAGCAAAGACCCAGAAAUAAUACAGGUGUCCACUAAGAGAAUGGAAAAUUUUAUGGUAUAUCAUAUCACGGGGAAAAUGGAUGGACACCAGCUACAUACAACAUAAACAGAUAAUGGAAACAUCACAGUGAGAGAAAAAGUCAAGAAUAAUAUAUAAUAUAGUAAAUCACUAUUUAUUGCAAAUAGACAAAGAAGCAAAACUAAACAAUAAAUUGAAUUUGUUAAGACUAUAUUUAAACACAAUAUUGUAAAUCAAUUAUAUUUCAAUUUUACAAAGAUAAUAAAUAUCAUGGAAACAUGUUUUAAGACAAUUUAAAAAUGUGACAAAUGAAACAUAAAAAAUAUAUUUAAAAAGCAAGGAAACGUAAACAGAAACUUCACAGUCGUGCUCAUGUGAAAGUGAAUAAAUAAUUGAAUGAACAAUGGAGAUAAUUCACUAUUUCAUCACCUCUCCAUGAUCAAACCACUUGGAUCAAUUAGACUCACUAAUCUCCUCAGCACCCCCCCCCAGCUUGUCCACUUCCACCUUUCUGGCUGGAACACACUCUUCUAUGUCUGUAUUAGAACCUCAUGCCUCCUCUGAGGUCCAGAUCAAACACCAGCUCCCCCAUUCCCAUAACCACUUCCCCAGUGAGAAACAAGGUUGCCUCCACUGAGCCUCCUUGGGAUACAACUGUCUUCACAGCCCUCAGCUCACACUGUCCAGCUUCUUCUGCCUGUGACAUGGCAUCCCUGCUGUAUGGGAGGACCACGCAGGAAAGCCUGUGCCCUACUUGCUACCGUAGCCCCUCAAAGCCCACCACAUUUUUUUGCACAUAGAAAAUGUCUAAUAUUUUUUGAAUGAAUGGGUCAACCAACCACUUACAAAUAGUGGAAAGAAGGGUCCAGCUAACAUAGGAGGAGGUUGGAGAACAGGUGAGUUUUGGAAGCAUGGGAAUCAUGUGACUGAAUUGGAAAUAAAAAGAUCACAUUUUGGGCAGAGAAACAGAAUAAAGUCUCAGGGUAGAAUUUACUGAGGAUGGGGGUAGUACACACAUUUAUCUGCAUGAAAUUUAAAGACCAAAGAUAUAAGUAAUGAAAUCAAAUAAAUCAUGGCACAUCCAUAUCCUAUUAGAUAGUAUACAGCUUGUAAAACCAAUGUAGUAAAACUCUGUACACGGACGUAAAAAUCCAAUAAUGAUGCUGAGUAAGAAAAUAAAGUGUAGAUAUUUAUUUAUCUCUAGAGAGAGAAAAGAGAGAGAAAGAAAGAGAGGGGUCCCAGUUUUGACUGAAAUAAAC
Long non-coding RNA from Orcinus orca (killer whale), 5103 nucleotides. RefSeq lists it as uncharacterized. The transcript is spliced from 3 exons. Lineage: Eukaryota; Metazoa; Chordata; Mammalia; Artiodactyla; Delphinidae. The record is from RefSeq and is a predicted model, not a curated record.